Molecule: non-coding RNA, 810 nt
Organism: Cajanus cajan (pigeon pea)
Lineage: Eukaryota; Viridiplantae; Streptophyta; Magnoliopsida; Fabales; Fabaceae
Source: RefSeq, a predicted model, not a curated record
AAAAUUUGAGCAAGAGUGCUUCUUUGUAACAGCCCUCUUCCUACUUCUCAUUCGGGGAAGGAUAAUAUCCUUGAGGUAACACUCUGAAUAGGGAUAUUAUCGCCGAAGCGUGAAGUGGUGUAUACACUUCUGGACGCUGGCUAGUCAUCCUGAUCCUGAACAAGCAAGAUCCUUCGCCGGAUUUUGUAUAAUAUCUCUUUGACGAGGUAUUCAACCUGUUUGUUCAGGACGGACACAGAUUAGCUUCUGUUUUAAAAGGAGAAAUCCUCAGAAAAGGAGUAGUAAAAUACUCUCUCUUCGUUUCAACCAAUCAAAAGAAUCCCGGAAGGAAUUCAACAAACAAAUCCAAAGAUCUACUCGGAAAACGAAUAGGAGCAACAUUCUGUUUUGGAAGCAAAAAGAUUUCAAGAUCUUGGAAAAGAUUGACACAGCCAGAAGAAAUUAUCAUUGCUGAUCAAUCAAAACACUACAUGCACUUUGUAGUACAAAAUCUUGUAAUCCAAAUUGCUGGAUAUGAUUUUAUCAUACCAUCAGUAUAUUUGCAUGAAUCAGGUUUAGAUAUCAUUUUAGGAAACAAUUUUCUAAAAUUAUAUGAACCAUUCAUUCAAAGAAAAAUUAUUGUUCAACUUGGUUGGAAAAAUCUUUCAAAUCCAACUGAAAGAAAACUUGUUCCUACAAACAUCAUUACAAGAAACGAGAUACUUUACUCUUAACUCAAUCAUCUUUUUCAAGACAAUUGAGAUAAGGCUUAAAGAUUCAUUUGCGGAAAUCAAUGUCCCAAAUAGGAUUCCUUAUACAAUAAGAGAUGUA